CCUACGGGUGGCAGCAGUGGGGAAUUUUGGACAAUGGGCGCAAGCCUGAUCCAGCCAUGCCGCGUGAGUGAAGAAGGCCUUCGGGUUGUAAAGCUCUUUCGGCGGGGACGAAACGGUCCGUGACAACACCACGGACUAAUGACGGUACUCGCAGAAGAAGCACCGGCUAACUACGUGCCAGCAGCCGCGGUAAUACGUAGGGUGCAGGCGUUAAUCGGAAUUACUGGGCGUAAAGCGUGCGCAGGCGGCUCUUUAAGUCAGAUGUGAAAGCCCCGGGCUUAACCUGGGAAUUGCGUUUGAAACUGGAGAGCUGGAGUGUGGAAGAGGGGGGUGGAAUUCCAGGUGUAGCAGUGAAAUGCGUAGAGAUCUGGAGGAACACCGAUGGCGAAGGCAGCCCCCUGGGCUAACACUGACGCUCAUGCACGAAAGCGUGGGGAGCA
RNAcentral lists this ribosomal RNA (440 nucleotides) under uncultured bacterium. Its description in RNAcentral is "bacterial SSU rRNA". It matches the Rfam family "Bacterial small subunit ribosomal RNA", at positions 338 to 770 of the family's 1533-position model. The record is from RNAcentral.